Long non-coding RNA from Cannabis sativa, 2323 nucleotides. RefSeq lists it as uncharacterized. NCBI's taxonomy places the organism in Eukaryota, Viridiplantae, Streptophyta, Magnoliopsida, Rosales, Cannabaceae. The transcript has 3 exons. The record is from RefSeq and is a predicted model, not a curated record.
CCAAUUCAGACAUAUUUUCCCUAAACAACCUAUACUAUUAUCUCUCUCCCUCCCUCUUUUUUUUCAUUUCACCAUUUCUUCAUUUUCCUCUUUUCUCUUUUCCUCUUUCAUUUUCGUCCUCUGUUUUUUUUCUUUUUUGCUCUCGAUUUUUGGAGGACAUUGCCACCAUUGUUCUUCAAGUAAGAGCUACGGGUAAGAGCUUCCAUUGUUUGUGUGUUCUUCAAGGUAAGCAUGAGUUUUUUAUUUUUUUUUUCUCUCUAAUUUUAGGGUUUUUUGUUCCUUUUCAUUUUGUGGGUUUGUUGAAGUUGCAUUUGUUCUUAAUCGUUCUUACAUUCUUAUAUUUUCGUUUUUAUUUUUUUAUUUUGCAUUUUCUUGUUGAGUUAUGCUUAAUCCGAAGAGAGAGUGGGAAAAAUGAGAAUAGAAGAGAGUAGUUCAUUGAGAGAAAAUUAGGAGGAUUAAGAAAGAAACAAGGAGAAUCAUUGGAAAACAAUCUCAACCCAUUUUCUGUUUUAAGAUUAUUAGUGUGUUGUUGUUUUUCUUUUUUUUUUAAAAAAUGUUUAAUCCGAAGUGAUUAUUGUGUUGUUGUAUUUAUUCAUAUUGGAUUAGUUAAGUAUUUUGUGUUUUGGGUUUUGUUUUAUGCUUUAGAAUUUUGUUGUUUAGUUUUUUUUUUUUUUUAAUUUUUGUUAAUAUUCGGUGUUGUUGUUGUGUUUAUUUUUUUUUUUAAAUUUGGUUGGUUUUUGGAUAUGAUUUUUGUUAGUUUUAGUGAUAAAUUUUCUUUCAUUUUUUAGAAACUGGUUUUUGGGUAUGAUUUUUUUUGAUGAUUUAGUAAUUUCGGGUUUUAGAGUCAAUGUGCUGUAAUAAAUUGUGAAUUUAUUGUGUAAUCUGAAAAAGCCUUGUAAUUUCUGUUGAAAAUAUUGUAUCAAUUAUAAACUUGUAGGGAUUUUAUUUUGCAUGAAGAAAUUAUUGUUGUGUUUGAGCAGUUAUAAUCUUUGUUUUAUUUAUAGGAACUGGUUUUUGGUGUGUAUGGGUGGUUUUGAGGUUUGAGGUUUCAAAAUAAUUCUCAUAUGAAAAACCAGUUUCUAGAUCAUGAUUACAGUUUUAAAAAUAGGUUAGAAAUGAUGCAGGUAUUGUUUCGGAUCCUCGGAUUCCUAAUUUUGAAACAUGUCAAAAACAAGUUUCUGGAGUUUGAUUUAUGUUAUAGAUAUGUGUUAUUUGUGCAUUCUGUGAUAAUUUGGGUGUGUGGGUGGUUUUAAGGUUGAUGUUGCAAAAUGCUUGGAUCUUUGAAUGGGUUUCCUUUGGGCUGGAUUAUUAGUUUUAUUGUUUAGUUAAUUACUGUUGAGGAAAUUGUCGUUAUGUUUUUUUGUUUUUUUUUUGUUGUUUUGUUUCGAUUUUGUGUGAAACUAGUUUUCGUGUUAAUUAUCAGGAUUAAUUUGUUGUUUGUGUCUAAUGUUUAUUUUGUGUUUUGUUUUUUUAUCAGAUGGAGAGUGAAUCAGUCUCAAAAGUCUCAUCUAUUGUUGAAAAGAUUGAGUAGGCUACGAAGGCUAAAGGCCGACCAAAAAAAUAUUCACGUAAAGCUAAAGUAUAUUUUAUGUUUGUAUUGAAACCGGUUUUUAGUACUUAUGUUUGUUUUUUUUUUUUUGGUUAUUAUGAAACUGGUUUUAUUUAUUUAUUUUUAUUAGGAUCCUUUUGUCGAAGAAGAAAAACCUGUUGAAGUUGAAACGAGGAAAUCUCCACGUAAAUCCAAAGCCGAUAAUGUUGUGGAAGAUAUUCCCUUGAAAGCUCCAACAAGAAGAUCUCCCCGGAAACUUUAAGUUGAUAAUCAAGAUGUUAAAGGUGAUGUUACUGAUUAUGUUUCUCACAAACACCGUAGUAAAAAAGUCAGUAAGAAGGCUACUAAUGUCCUUCAAGCAGUCAAUGAUGAUGAUUUUUCAGACUCAGAAGGUUGUGGCGGAAGUUGUUUCAAGCAAGAAAAUGAAAGUUGUUAUUGAUGACGCUAGUGCAUCAAAGAAAAGUAAAACUAAGGAUGUGGUGGAGGAUUUUAAUUUGGUAUGUCUUCUUUUUUCCUUAUAUUUUUUUGGUUGUUUUGUGUAUUGUAUUUGUUGGACAGUUGUGAUCUUGGACAUAUUUUCUUACUUUGAAUGUUGAGGUACUCUUAAACUUUGAAGCUCUCAGAAACCAGUUACAGUUGCCAUCCACACAAGUCACCACAUACUCUCUUGGUUCAGAUCUUUUGGUUUUAAACUGAAAAUUGUUAAUCAUAGCAAAAAAACCCACUGCAGUCUUCAAUAUUUUUCUGUCCUUGUAGAUCUGUCCUUUUUCAAUG